Molecule: non-coding RNA, 124 nt
Organism: Pelobates cultripes (western spadefoot toad)
Lineage: Eukaryota; Metazoa; Chordata; Amphibia; Anura; Pelobatidae
Source: the annotation of a GenBank genome assembly
UACUCUGCCUUUUCUAGGGGGCUCAAGUUUUCCCCAAGGCUGACCUGCUCCAUGCUACCUGAAGAUGGGGCGAGCAGGUCAGCCUAGGGGAAAACUUGAGCCCCCUAGAAAAGGCAGAGGCCAU